ACUAGCGUAGCUUAAUGGAAAAGCUCUGAGGUACCAUAAAAACUGUGCAGGGUAUCCGGGUUCGAGUCCCGGCGCUAGUACCA
Molecule: transfer RNA, 83 nt
Filed under: Caudoviricetes sp.
Lineage: Duplodnaviria; Heunggongvirae; Uroviricota; Caudoviricetes
Description: tRNA-OTHER
Rfam family: tRNA
About the family: Transfer RNA (tRNA) molecules are approximately 80 nucleotides in length. Their secondary structure includes four short double-helical elements and three loops (D, anti-codon, and T loops).
Source: RNAcentral